This 225-nucleotide ribosomal RNA is filed under the name Millerozyma acaciae. Its description in RNAcentral is "partial 26S rRNA". It matches the Rfam family "Eukaryotic large subunit ribosomal RNA", at positions 1623 to 1848 of the family's 3401-position model. Lineage: Eukaryota; Fungi; Ascomycota; Pichiomycetes; Serinales; Debaryomycetaceae. The record is from RNAcentral.
ACUUGGAUAUGGAUUCUUCACGGCAACGUAACUGAAUGUGGAGACGUCGGCGUGAGCCCUGGGAGGAGUUCUCUNUUCUUCUUAACAGCUUAUCACCCUGGAAUUGGUUUAUCCGGAGAUAGGGUNUUAUGGCUGGAAGAGUGCAAUACUUUUGUUGCAGCCGGUGCGCUUACGACGGUCCUUGAAAAUCCACAGGAAGGAAUAGUUUUCAUGCCAAGUCGUACU